Molecule: ribosomal RNA, 292 nt
Filed under: uncultured bacterium
Lineage: Bacteria
Also listed under: 1 other name
Description: partial 16S ribosomal RNA
Source: RNAcentral
GGACUACCGGGGUUUCUAAUCCCGUUUGCUCCCCUGGCCUUCGUGCCUCAGUGUCAGUAACUGUCCAGAGAUCCGCCUUCGCCACUGGUCUUCCUUACGAUAUCUACGCAUUUCACUGCUACACCGUAAAUUCCAAUCUCCUCUCCAGUACUCGAGCAAGGCAGUAUUGAAUGCAGUUCCGGGGUUGAGCCCCGGGAUUUCACAUCCAACUUACCUCGCCACCUACGCACCCUUUACGCCCAAUGAAUCCGAACAACGCUUGAGACCUCUGUAUUACCGCGGCUGCUGGCAC